This 253-nucleotide ribosomal RNA is filed under the name uncultured bacterium. RNAcentral's name for it is "partial 16S ribosomal RNA". It matches the Rfam family "Bacterial small subunit ribosomal RNA", at positions 524 to 776 of the family's 1533-position model. The record is from RNAcentral.
GACGGAGGAUGCAAGUGUUAUCCGGAAUCACUGGGCGUAAAGCGUCUGUAGGUGGUCAAAUAAGUCAACUGUUAAAUCUUGAGGCUCAACCUCAAAACCGCAGUCGAAACUAUUAGACUAGAGUAUAGUAGGGGUAAAGGGAAUUUCCAGUGGAGCGGUGAAAUGCGUAGAGAUUGGAAAGAACACCGAUGGCGAAGGCACUCUACUGGGCCAUUACUGACACUGAGAGACGAAAGCUAGGGGAGCAAAUGGG